GUUUUGCUGGGAGAGAAAGAUGCAGAAAUCUUCUAGAAAGCACACUGUGAGAACAUGGUCUUACUGAAAUACAUGGGGCAAUGCAGAAAGGCCCUGGGAAGGGCCAGGACACGCUGUGUGUACUCAGUGGUACACAGCAAGGCUGUCUGCACCCCAUAAAAAUACCUGCAAGCCCUGGCCUUUGCUGCAAACACGUACCCAGAGCAGGCCCCCGCUGGGAACUGAUAUCUUCCUGCUUCACACAAGCUCACCUCCAAACUCCCAUCUGCCUUAAACAGUUACGUAGAGCUGAAAAGUUAUUGCCAUUAUGUUUAAAACACAAGCAAGACGAGACUAAAAUGAUCCUGCUAAUAUGUUAAAAGCAGUUCCCGACCCCUGCCAGCGUUCAACUACUCAUGAGGUAUUAAAAAUACAAAUACACAUGUUCAAAUAGAUCUUAAAAAUGGAACCUGUUACAAGCAAACGAGGGUGGCAUUGGGAUUAUUAUGAAAGUUUGGUUAAGGCCUUGACAUUUCUUUUACUCUUCUGUGACCCCGGAUUUGGUUUAGGUAGUAACUGUUCUCAUCCUAUUCCAAGAGCAACUGGCUCCCUGAGCUGGCCCACUAAGCCACAAGAGCAUCACCCAGGAAAAUGGUGAGUUACCCCACGUGGCAGCAGACUUCCCUCCUACCCAAACAGAGACAGACUGCUCCUCACUGGAGCACGAUAUGGUGAGAAGGACCCAAACACAGACUUCAUAGAACAGUCUGCACUCCAUUAAACACCCACGAACAGCUAUUUCAUCCUUGCCACAAAACAGACAUCUUGUCUCAGGAUGCUCAGGCUAACACUCCCUAGAGAGCUCCCCUCCACCUCCUCACUGAUAAUCCACACUGUCUGGUGUUUAGUCUUUGUAUUACCUCCAGUCUGGCAGCAUUCCCCUUCUGCAGGUCCCUGCAGGAGCAGCUAAGCCUGUCCCCAACCCUCUCAAGCCCACUGGCCAGAAAGUUGAGAUAUGAAACCCUACAGCCUCAAAGACAUUGAGGCAAGUAGGUGCAAUCCAUAUCCUUCGGCUUUGGGCACUGGAACAAGACAAAACCAACCACAGAAGCCUUGGCAAAUAGGAGAGAAAAAUCCACAU
This 1120-nucleotide long non-coding RNA is filed under the name Coturnix japonica (Japanese quail). RNAcentral's name for it is "lncRNA (ENSCJPG00005001337.1)". The record is from RNAcentral. Lineage: Eukaryota; Metazoa; Chordata; Aves; Galliformes; Phasianidae.